This 460-nucleotide ribosomal RNA is filed under the name uncultured bacterium. RNAcentral describes it as "partial 16S ribosomal RNA". It matches the Rfam family "Bacterial small subunit ribosomal RNA", at positions 338 to 795 of the family's 1533-position model. The record is from RNAcentral.
CCUACGGGUGGCAGCAGUGAGGAAUAUUGGUCAAUGGACGAGAGUCUGAACCAGCCAAGUAGCGUGAAGGAUGACUGCCCUAUGGGUUGUAAACUUCUUUUAUAUGGGAAUAAAAUGUUCCACGUGUGGGAUUUUGUAUGUACCAUAUGAAUAAGGAUCGGCUAACUCCGUGCCAGCAGCCGCGGUAAUACGGAGGAUCCGAGCGUUAUCCGGAUUUAUUGGGUUUAAAGGGAGCGUAGGUGGAUUGUUAAGUCAGUUGUGAAAGUUUGCGGCUCAACCGUAAAAUUGCAGUUGAAACUGGCAGUCUUGAGUACAGUAGAGGUGGGCGGAAUUCGUGGUGUAGCGGUGAAAUGCUUAUAUAUCACGAAGAACUCCGAUUGCGAAGGCAGUUCACUGGACUGCAACUGACACUGAGGCUCGAAAGUGUGGGUAUCAAACAGGAUUAGAUACCCGAGUAGUC